This 513-nucleotide ribosomal RNA is filed under the name uncultured archaeon. RNAcentral's name for it is "bacterial SSU rRNA". It matches the Rfam family "Archaeal small subunit ribosomal RNA", at positions 486 to 997 of the family's 1478-position model. The record is from RNAcentral.
GAGUGGUGAUCGUGAUUAUUGGGUCUAAAGGGUCCGUAGCCGGUUUGGUCAGUCCUCCGGGAAAUCUGAUAGCUCAACUAUUAGGCUUUCGGGGGAUACUGCCAGACUUGGAACCGGGAGAGGUAAGAGGUACUACGGGGGUAGGAGUGAAAUCUUGUAAUCCCUGUGGGACCACCUGUGGCGAAGGCGUCUUACCAGAACGGGUUCGACGGUGAGGGACGAAAGCUGGGGGCACGAACCGGAUUAGAUACCCGGGUAGUCCCAGCCGUAAACGAUGCUCGCUAGGUGUCAGGCAUGGCGCGACCGUGUCUGGUGCCGCAGGGAAGCCGUGAAGCGAGCCACCUGGGAAGUACGGCCGCAAGGCUGAAACUUAAAGGAAUUGGCGGGGGAGCACAACAACGGGUGGAAGCCUGCGGUUUAAUUGGACUCAACGCCGGACAACUCACCGGGGGCGACAGCAAUAUGUAGGCCAAGCUGAAGACUUUGCCUGAAUCGCUGAGGGGUGGUGCAUGG